Molecule: ribosomal RNA, 468 nt
Filed under: uncultured bacterium
Lineage: Bacteria
Description: partial 16S ribosomal RNA
Rfam family: Bacterial small subunit ribosomal RNA
Source: RNAcentral
GACGAACGCUGGCGGCGUGCUUAACACAUGCAAGUCGAACGGAAAGGCCCUGCUUUUGUGGGGUGCUCGGGUGGCGAACGGGUGAGUAACACGUGAGUAACCUGCCCUUGACUUUGGGAUAACUUCAGGAAACUGGGGCUAAUACCGGAUAGGAGCUCCUGCUGCAUGGUGGGGGUUGGAAAGUUUCGGCGGUUGGGGAUGGACUCGCGGCUUAUCAGCUUGUUGGUGGGGUAGUGGCUUACCAAGGCUUUGACGGGUAGCCGGCCUGAGAGGGUGACCGGCCACAUUGGGACUGAGAUAUGGCCCAGACUCCUACGGGAGGCAGCAGUGGGGAAUAUUGCACAAUGGGCGGAAGCCUGAUGCAGCAACGCCGCGUGCGGGAUGACGGCCUUCGGGUUGUAAACCGCUUUCGCCUGUGACGAAGCGUGAGUGACGGUAAUGGGUAAAGAAGCACCGGCUAACUACGUG